GUGCUUGCUUCGGCAGCACAUACACUAAAAUUGGAACGAUACAGAGAUUAGCAUGGCCCCUGUGCAAGGAGAAUGAAUCUUCGUAAUGUUCAGCAAAAGAAG
This is a small nuclear RNA of Homo sapiens (human), 102 nucleotides long. The record is from Ensembl. NCBI's taxonomy places the organism in Eukaryota, Metazoa, Chordata, Mammalia, Primates, Hominidae.